UGGGGAAUAUUGGACAAUGGGCGCAAGCCUGAUCCAGCCAUGCCGCGUGAGUGAUGAAGGCCCUAGGGUUGUAAAGCUCUUUCACCGGAGAAGAUAAUGACGGUAUCCGGAGAAGAAGCCCCGGCUAACUUCGUGCCAGCAGCCGCGGUAAUACGAAGGGGGCUAGCGUUGUUCGGAUUUACUGGGCGUAAAGCGCACGUAGGCGGAUCGAUCAGUCAGGGGUGAAAUCCCAGGGCUCAACCCUGGAACUGCCUUUGAUACUGUCGAUCUGGAGUAUGGAAGAGGUGAGUGGAAUUCCGAGUGUAGAGGUGAAAUUCGUAGAUAUUCGGAGGAACACCAGUGGCGAAGGCGGCUCACUGGUCCAUUACUGACGCUGAGGUGCGAAAGCGUGGGGAGCAAACA
This 402-nucleotide ribosomal RNA is filed under the name uncultured Rhizobium sp. RNAcentral describes it as "bacterial SSU rRNA". It matches the Rfam family "Bacterial small subunit ribosomal RNA", at positions 355 to 774 of the family's 1533-position model. Lineage: Bacteria; Pseudomonadati; Pseudomonadota; Alphaproteobacteria; Hyphomicrobiales; Rhizobiaceae. The record is from RNAcentral.